UUUUCUCUCCGUACCGAUCUUUUUGGGUCGAGAUUACUCGUUGGUUAAUGGCAGCAAGUGAUCUCAAGUCAAAAGCCCACCUAUUUGAGUGCUUAGGUACCGCCGAUUGUUAUGACCAGAAGAGGCCAUAUAUACAUACACCCACUCGAUGGUUUGUCACCACCCGUCAUGACAUGGCUGCCAUCCUCGUCCAGCUACUGGUGUCAGCCCUUCUUCUUCUCCUUCUCGUGACCAAUGGAGCGUCCUCGGCGAGGCCACACCCUCCCCCGGCUUCCGCCGGCGAAGCUCCGAAGGCUCCAAGGAUCAGCUCAACAUUAGCGGAGAAGGAGUCGGAGGCGGGUGCCAGCAGGAAGCGCGUGCCGCCUUCUGGGCCGAGCAACAAGGGACACGGCUCGCCGGAAUCCUCCACGCGCCAUCUGCUGCACCUGCACGCCGACCACGGUUGUGCCGGAAGACAGCGUUCCAUUUACGCGUCUGGUUAUGCACAGCCAAUGCAAAUCUCAUCGUUGCUUUCGCCCCUUCUCUUCGUCCGUGCGGAAAGUGUCAUCUCCAAAGUUGAUCGAUCGCUCACGGAGAUGACAGGAACGACUCGAUCCGAUCGAAACCUGAUAUGGAUUUGGUCAACGGUCAACUCGACGCGCCGAAAAUGUUCGUCUACUGUCUGGGUGGAACUCCUCGGAGACCUACAAAAAAAGAUAGGUGUCGUAUUUUAAGAUUGUCAUUCUAAUACAAGUUGGUGGAGAUCCGAGGUAAAGAGUUGGGGGAGAGAGAGAGAGAAAUGCUUUUGCAUAGGGGAUUAGCCCUCUAAUCGAUCUCUCAUUAAAACAAAUUAGCCGUAAUUUUUUUUAUCGUGAUUUAAAUAAAUACUAUUGAAAUAGUUUUUAUAUGUGUUAUAUUAACUUUAAUCUUUUUAUUAUAAUUCUUAAAAAUUAUAUUUAUAAAUAUCUUAUAAAUUAUGAUUAUUAAAAAUCAUAAGAAAAAAUAGACGUAUAAUAUUUUGCUCACGCUUCAUUUUGGCUUCUAACCUGCGCUUCACGGCUCUUUAUUUUCUUUCUCUCGACUUCUGUUUUAGGGUUAGAAACCGUCGGCGGAAGCUUUCCUCUCCGCUGCCGUCGGCGGAUUCCCGCCCCCCUCCCCCCUGCUUCCACGGGCGAAAGCUUCCUCUCCGCUGCCGUUGGUGGAUUCCUGGCCCCUCCCUCCCCACCCCACUGCUUCCUCUGCUUCCACGGGUGAAAACUUCCUCUCCGCUGCUGUUGGUGGAUUCCUGGCCCCUCCCCUCCCCCCCUGCUUCAACUGCUUCCGCCGGCGGAAGCUUCCUCUCCGCUGCCGUCGGCGGAUUCCAGCCUCCCUCUCCCUGCUUCUUCCGUCGGCGAAAGUUUCCUCUCCGCUGCCGUCAGCGGAUUCCCGUCCUCUCCCCCCUGUUGCCGUCAAUAGAUUCCCGCCCCCUCCGCCCUGCUUACUCUGCUUCCAUCGGCGGAAGCUUCCUCUCCGCUGCCGUGUGGUGUCUUUUGUUGUUUCUCUCGCCUUGCGACUCCUUCCUUCUUCCAGUAGAAGAAGGAUCAAGAACUUUUAAUGUCCUAUUCCGCCAUUGUUAGGGAGACCGAGAAAUCUCAGCUCGAACAAUGAGGGUUCAUCAGGAUUUGUCUCUUCAUUCAUUAUAUAAACUUGUCUGGCCGAUCGAGGAGUGAUUAGGGAUUGA
Musa acuminata AAA Group (dessert banana) is the source of this 1699-nucleotide long non-coding RNA. RefSeq lists it as uncharacterized. NCBI's taxonomy places the organism in Eukaryota, Viridiplantae, Streptophyta, Magnoliopsida, Zingiberales, Musaceae. The record is from RefSeq and is a predicted model, not a curated record. The transcript is spliced from 2 exons.